AAAUAGUGCUGAAUUUGUUAUCCAAAUGAUAAAUGAAAAACCUUGACGGCCGUCUAGAUAUUCUUCCAUUUCUAUAUAUAUAGCUAACGUUUAUGAUGAAUUUCCAUGAAACUAAUGCUCAAAGAAAAGGAGCGAGGGGCUCACAGAACCAUAAAUAUUAAUUAAUUAUUGCUCUUAAUCAUCUUCAUUUGUUGUUAUUGCAGAUCAUAAUCCUGUUACUCUGGACAAUCAAAUUCAAAGCAUCAGAAGCUUCAUGUCAAACGAGUUGUGGUAAAGUCCAAAUAAGCUAUCCCUUUGGAAUUGAAGCAGGCUGCUUCUUCAAUGAACGGUUUGAAAUAACCUGCAACAUCUCUUCUACUCCCUCUGGACAACCUUUCUUGACUAAGAUGAAGCUGAAACUAGCAGAAGACACUGCUGCUAUGAGCUUCGGGAUAGGUGUCGAAAUGCCUGCAAUUUCUUUAAAAAACACUUCUACAGAGAGAAAGUAAUGCACAAUUUAAGGUGUCGCUGGAAGUUUUCAGCUACAGAUAGGGGAUGAGCUUUUGAUGUAACAAAGCAAGACAUACAAAAUGAAGAGAAUCAUCUCUUUGUGUGACAUGAUGAACAGGGAAUCAUGGAAGCAUAGGAAAGUUCAAAAGAAGCUAAUUGUAAUGCCAUCAUCUUAUCGUCUUCUUCUCAUAUUCAUUGACUGCCAGAUUGACUCUCAACGACCGAGAAUCCCAAGGUUAAGAGCUGCCCGACAGAAAUUGAUCCAGAUUGGUUGAUGAUGCAAGAAGCUAGAAGGCGCUAAUCUAUUGAUCACAAAUUAAUUUUUUUUUUUUUUUUAAUUAAGGCUUCGUUUGAUACGAAUAAUCUGAAUAGAGUUUAUAUAUUGAAGUAGGGGUUUUAUUAGAGUCUGAACUUGUUAAUUGUUUGGUUAAGAAGAUGAAAAAGUUUUCUAGUAAUAAUAUAUCAAAACUUUUUUAAUAUACAAGAAUGGAUUUCUGUCAAAUUAUAAAAUACGAUAGAGAUAUUUGAAAAUUUUAACA
This is a long non-coding RNA of Pistacia vera, 1028 nucleotides long. RefSeq lists it as uncharacterized. The transcript is spliced from 3 exons. NCBI's taxonomy places the organism in Eukaryota, Viridiplantae, Streptophyta, Magnoliopsida, Sapindales, Anacardiaceae. The record is from RefSeq and is a predicted model, not a curated record.